RNAcentral lists this long non-coding RNA (833 nucleotides) under Parus major (Great Tit). Its description in RNAcentral is "lncRNA (ENSPMJG00000002112.1)". The record is from RNAcentral. Lineage: Eukaryota; Metazoa; Chordata; Aves; Passeriformes; Paridae.
CUAACCUCCCUUGGAACCAAUGAGAUUUUUCAAAAAAUCAAUUUAUUGACAUGAUUAUCUCUUCCAGGUCAGACCUUCUCGUCUCAGACAUUCAGUCUGAAGCCACAGGUGAAGAACCCAGCUCACUGGAAUAACUGCUUGAGUUGGGUGCUAACUUCUGCUGAGCAAACCUUACAGCAGGAUUUUGUUCCAGGUAAAGAUUUCCUUCCAUGAUAAAGAUAAGCCAAAGCAAAGAAGGAAGAAACUAAGCAGUUUUUGUACUGGGAGUCACAGAGCCUGCAGCCUUUCAUCACGUGCAGGCAGACAGCUUCCCUGAUAUGUGAAUUGUGAGGAAAAAAGGACAAAAACACUUCCCUCUGGUCAAGUACAGAAAAAUGAGCAAAGCUGCAUAUUCACUUUUGGUUUCAGUUCCAAAUUGCAAGAAUGUUCAACUGAAAAAUGCACCUAUUUUCCAUUUUGGAACUCUUCUCUGCUCCUGACUGCUCUUUUCCUGUGGUUUAACUUAACUAUAGCAGAGAGAGGCUGGAUGGGAGCAGUGACAGAUGACAUCACAUCUCUCUGAAUUAACAAGGCUACAAACAACUACACUAAGUUCAGCUGAAUGGAUCAACAAAUAAGUAGAACUACUCUUUUCCACAGCUUCCCAAUGUAAGUCACAAGAACUCCAGCCUUUGGAAAAUUCUCCUUUAAAGAAAGACUAAUUAAUUUCACAUUCUUGUUUUUUGUACAUGUUAAUACCUUUUAUAGGCACUUAAGCUGAGCAGUCAUAUAACUUUUUAUGUUUUAAUGUGUCAUAUGUCUUUAAUAAAUAACUUCUAGUGUUGUUUGUUCCA